GAUCCUCCCUCUCCGCCCUCAGAAGGAACAAGUCCUGCCGACAACUUGAUCUUGGACUUCUAGUCUCUGGAACUGUGAGGCGAUCAUUUCUGUUGUUUAAGCCACUCUGUUUUUGGCACUUUGUUACAGCAGCCCCAGCAAACUAACCCAUCCCGUUUUCGCAGCCACUAGCCACAUGCAGCUAUUCAGCAUUUGAAAUGACAGUUCGUCUGAAUUGAGAUGUGCUUGUGGCUACUAGAGAAAUUUAAUUACAUAUGUGGCUUGCAUUACAUUUGAUUGGGUGACGCUGCUCUACAACUUGGAAAGGCCAUUUCCAGGACAUCUUCCUGGAGGCUCCCAGGAAAAGCAGCCUUUGGAAUUCCCACUGAAUUCCACUCAA
Hippopotamus amphibius kiboko is the source of this 379-nucleotide long non-coding RNA. RefSeq lists it as uncharacterized. The record is from RefSeq and is a predicted model, not a curated record. NCBI's taxonomy places the organism in Eukaryota, Metazoa, Chordata, Mammalia, Artiodactyla, Hippopotamidae. The transcript has 3 exons.